AGUGACAGCAGGCUACAAUCGCCAUUUUUUCUUAAGAAUUCGAACUAGUCUAAGUAGAUGUAAAAAAAUGAACCAAACACGAAACACGAAUGAGAUGUGUAUUUGGCAAUCUCGUUUUGCCAAGUAGGUUCGCAGAGCAGCAUGACUGGCAGCACUGAUUUGAAAACUCGUUCUUUGACGAACUCGCCGGCAACUUUAGCAAGGGCUAGAUGCGAAGAGUUCUUUUGAAUCAUUUAGAGGUUGCAGAGCUUGAAGACAUCUUGGAUGAACAUCAGCAUUUUUUUCAUUCAAAUUCCACCUAAUGUACUUCAGGAGAGUGGUGAAUACCUAAUGAUCAUGUUUGUUUUACAAUGGAAGAAAUGUUGAAGCACAACUUCUGUGACUUUGUCCAAACACUUGUGAAUCGUUGUUUGUCCACCGUUAUCGAAACAUCGUUCCCGUAAUUCGAGCCAUUUGUAUGGAGGAUAUUGGCAUUUGGAACGGUUCCCCCAAACUUUUCUGGAUGAUUCUCACCUGAAGUAUAUUGGGUGGAGUUUGAAUGAGAAAGUUGCUUAUGUUCGGUUAAGAAGUCUUCAAGGUCUGCAAACCGCUGUAUUUAAGGAUCGUAUCGUCUCGGUGAAAAUUAGACAAAGAUUGCGAUGCGGUCUACAUGCAAGUUUAUUCUAAACAUCGAGCCCUUGCUAAAGUUGCCGGCGAGUUCGUCAAACAGCGAGUUUUCAAAUCUAGUGCUGCCAGUCAUGCUGCUGUGCUAACUCUACAUGGCAAAACGAGACUGCCCAACACACAUCUCAUUCGUGUUUCGUGAUUUGGUUCAAUUUUUACAUCUACUUAUUUGUUCGAGUUCUUAAGAAAAAAUGGCGAUUGUAUUUGCACGUGUUAGGAGUAUAGCCCCCCCCCCCUUUUUUGAUGCUUGCAAUACACGACGUGUACUCGAG
Molecule: long non-coding RNA, 935 nt
Organism: Daphnia pulicaria
Lineage: Eukaryota; Metazoa; Arthropoda; Branchiopoda; Diplostraca; Daphniidae
Exons: 5
Source: RefSeq, a predicted model, not a curated record